Non-coding RNA from Podarcis muralis (Common wall lizard), 698 nucleotides. The record is from RefSeq and is a predicted model, not a curated record. NCBI's taxonomy places the organism in Eukaryota, Metazoa, Chordata, Lepidosauria, Squamata, Lacertidae.
UGCCGCCGCCGCCACAGAGGAGGGGGCUUAGCGCAGGGAGCGACGUGAGGCGUCACUUCCGGACGCGAACCCGCGGAAACUUCCGGCAGCUGGCCAUCCUCAUGCAAUAGUAGCACAUUGGGAAGCAGAGUCCAUGGACUGUGAAUUCCGCCUGGUCAACCUAUUCCUUAGGCAAGCUGAUGAAAUGGAGCUGAGUGACCUCUGAAAGAAAAGAAGAAGACUAUGUAAAGUCAGAAGGAACUCCCAGCAAGAAAGGAUGCCUAUAGCAAAUGCUGGCCCGCAAACAGCUGUUGGACAGAGGAUGGAGCAAGCUUCUUUUCUCCUGCUCCAGAAGCUAGGACCUGAACCAAGAAAUUCAAGUUACAAGAAAAGACAUUCUGACUAAACAUCAGGAAGAGCUUUCUGACAGCAAAUGUUGUUCACCAGUGGAGCAUACUCACCCUGAGAGGUGAUGGACUCUUCUUCCUUGAAGGUUCUUAAGCAGAGGUUGGAUGGCCAUUUGUCUUGUAUAAUUUGGUUGAGACUAGACGACCCUCAGCUCUACAGUUCCUAGGAUUCUUCUCCAAGAGAGAAACCUUUAUUGCAUGGUGGAUAGCUUAAUGAAAAUGUCAACCCAUUAUAAGGCUGUUAGAAUUUGCAUUUUUUUUCAUGUGUUGGGGAUCAUUUAAAAUUAAACUACCGAUAUCAGAAUGCCCUUA